GCUGGGCGCGAUGGCACGUGCCUGUAGUCCCAGCUACUUGGGAGGCUGAGGUGGGAGGAUUGCUUCAGCCCAGGAGUUCUGGGCUGUAGUGCACUAUGCCAAUCGGGUGUCUGCACUAAGUUCGGCAUCAAUAUGGUGGCCUCUCGGGAAGGGGGGACCACCAUGUUGCCUAAGGAGAGAUGAACCGGCCCAGGUCAGAAACAGAGCAGGUCAAAACUCCUGUGCUGAUCAGUAGUGGGAUUGUGCCUGUGAAAGCCACUGCACUCUAGCCUGGGCAACAUAGCAAGACCCCAUCUCU
Molecule: signal recognition particle RNA, 298 nt
Filed under: Saimiri boliviensis boliviensis (Bolivian squirrel monkey)
Lineage: Eukaryota; Metazoa; Chordata; Mammalia; Primates; Cebidae
Description: Metazoan signal recognition particle RNA (ENSSBOG00000009278.1)
Rfam family: Metazoan signal recognition particle RNA
About the family: The signal recognition particle (SRP) is a universally conserved ribonucleoprotein. It is involved in the co-translational targeting of proteins to membranes.
Source: RNAcentral